Pseudophryne corroboree (corroboree frog) is the source of this 134-nucleotide small nucleolar RNA. The record is from RefSeq and is a predicted model, not a curated record. Lineage: Eukaryota; Metazoa; Chordata; Amphibia; Anura; Myobatrachidae.
CGGCACAUUUCAUUGACUUGCUCUGUGUACCUUACGGAGCAGCGUUAUUUCUGAUGUGCUAGAACAAAACGAAGGUAAAUUAGCAGUGUAACUAGGAACAUGUAGUCACCGCUGCCAGUCCCCUUCAUACAUGU